CCCCUAGAUGUUCUGGGCCGCACGCGCGCUACACUGAACAGUUCAACAAGUCUUAACCUUGGCCGAUAGGUCUGGGUAAUCUUUGAACGCUGUUCGUGAUUGGGAUAGACCUUUGCAAUUAUGGGUCUUCAACGAGGAAUUCCUAGUAAACGCAAGUCAUCAGCUUGCAUUGAUUACGUCCCUGCCCUUUGUACACACCGCCCGUCGCACCUACCGAUUGAAUGGUCCGGUGAAUCUUUAGGACUGUGGCUGAGGCCUUGCCUUGUGCGGGUCUGGCCGUGGGAAUUUAGUUAAACCUUACCAUUUAGAGGAAGGUGAAGUCGUANCA
Molecule: ribosomal RNA, 328 nt
Filed under: uncultured eukaryote
Lineage: Eukaryota
Description: partial 18S ribosomal RNA
Rfam family: Eukaryotic small subunit ribosomal RNA
Source: RNAcentral